RNAcentral lists this ribosomal RNA (489 nucleotides) under uncultured bacterium. RNAcentral describes it as "bacterial SSU rRNA". It matches the Rfam family "Bacterial small subunit ribosomal RNA", at positions 501 to 987 of the family's 1533-position model. The record is from RNAcentral.
CUACGUGCCAGCAGCCGCGGUAAUACGUAGGGUGCAAGCGUUAUCCGGAAUUAUUGGGCGUAAAGGGCUCGUAGGCGGUUCGUCGCGUCCGGUGUGAAAGUCCAUCGCUUAACGGUGGAUUCGCGCCGGGUACGGGCGGGCUUGAGUGCGGUAGGGGAGACUGGAAUUCCCGGUGUAACGGUGGAAUGUGUAGAUAUCGGGAAGAACACCAAUGGCGAAGGCAGGUCUCUGGGCCGUUACUGACGCUGAGGAGCGAAAGCGUGGGGAGCGAACAGGAUUAGAUACCCUGGUAGUCCACGCCGUAAACGGUGGAUGCUGGAUGUGGGGCCCGUUCCACGGGUUCCGUGUCGGAGCUAACGCGUUAAGCAUCCCGCCUGGGGAGUACGGCCGCAAGGCUAAAACUCAAAGAAAUUGACGGGGGCCCGCACAAGCGGCGGAGCAUGCGGACUAAUUCGAUGCAAUGCGAAGAACCUUACCUGGGCUUGACAU